Molecule: long non-coding RNA, 731 nt
Filed under: Mytilus galloprovincialis (Mediterranean mussel)
Lineage: Eukaryota; Metazoa; Mollusca; Bivalvia; Mytilida; Mytilidae
Source: RNAcentral
UUUUUUUUAUCAGGACCCAAACUAAUAGUAAGAACAUCAUAAUAUUCAGUAUGCUAAAAAGAAGUGUUAUGAAAGCGGCAGGGGCGGGUCCAGCCAUUUUAAAAAGGGGGGUCCUAACCCUGGACAAAAGGGGAGGGGGUUCCAACUACAUGUCCCCAUCCAAAUGCACUGAUCGUCCAAAAAAGGAGGUCCAUCCCCCUGAACCCCCGCCCCCUGGAUCCGCCACUGAGCGGGUACGGUAUUUAGCUCAAUACAUUUUUCAUAGUUUCAUCCAUCGAUAAUAUCCGUUUGUUGCUAAUUUUAUCACAAAAUAUACCUCAGAGGUUUUUUUAUCGUUCGGCUGCUGUCCUGUUGACAUAUAUAUGUAAAAUAUCUCCAAUAUUAAAAGUCUCUGGAUCAUAGUGGGUGCCAUAUUACCUAUUAUUUUUUUUCUAAAACGUGCUAUGUAUAUAGAAAUAAGAAGAUGAGGUAUGAGUGCCAAAUGAGACAUCCCGCAAAGUGGAAAGGGAUUAAUAUAAGUUGGAAAACUUGUUUCCCAAUCCACUAUAAAUAAAUAUGUUUAAACUAAACUAAAUGAGACAUCUUUCCAACAAAGACAUAAUUUAGUAAAGUAAGCAGUCAUAGGUCCAAUGCUGAAAAGUAAGCUAUUAAUGACCCAAAAAUUACUUGUGUAAAACAAUCCAAACAAAAAAACCUAAAAAAAACCGGCUCAAUUAAAUAUAUAAAAGGAC